Molecule: long non-coding RNA, 519 nt
Organism: Pseudopipra pipra
Lineage: Eukaryota; Metazoa; Chordata; Aves; Passeriformes; Pipridae
Exons: 3
Source: RefSeq, a predicted model, not a curated record
CCCCACAGGGGCAAUCCUACUUCAACCUUUGCUCUCCUUCCCCAGCCAAUCUCGGGACAAGGAGGAGGUGGAUGUGUCGGGGGAGGCAUGGAUGUCCAUCGAGUGAAGAGGUCUGAGGUGGGUACCCCGAGUUCUGCUGGGCCCAGACCCUCCCCUCUCAUGGCCACGACCCUCCCUGGCAUCCCAGUGUGUCCCAGUCCACCCUAGUGUGCCCCAGUAUCCCAGUGUGUCCCCGUAAAGCCCAGUGUGUCCCAGUCCAGCCCAGUGUGUCCCAGGUCACCCCAGUGUGUCUCUAACCCUGCCUUUGUCCCCAGCCCCCCGUGGCUGACCAGGUGGAGCUGAUGCGCCAGUGACGCUCGGCUGCCUCUCUGCAUGUCCAGGACUGGAAGUGGUGGUGACACCCGUGUCCUGGCCCCCUCCAGCGGCAUGAGGAGAUGAUCAUCCCUGGAGGACCCCCCUGAUCCCCUGGGUGCCCUGGCAAUUUCCCUGCAAGAAUCAAUAAACCCCUGCAGCAAAACA